UACGGAGGGUGCAAGCAUUAAUCGGAUUGACUGGGCGUAAAGGGUGCGUAGGCGGGCUUGUAAGUCAGAUGUGAAAUCCCAACACUCAAUGUUGGAACGGCAUUUGAAACUGCAAGUCUUGAGGGCAGGCGGAGAGAGGAGAAUUCCAUGUGUAGCGGUGAAAUGCGUAGAUAUAUGGAAGAACACCAGUGGCGAAAGCGCCUCUCUAGCUUGUUUCUGACGCUGAGGCACGAGAGUGUGGGGAGCAAACAGG
RNAcentral lists this ribosomal RNA (253 nucleotides) under uncultured bacterium. RNAcentral describes it as "partial 16S ribosomal RNA". It matches the Rfam family "Bacterial small subunit ribosomal RNA", at positions 524 to 776 of the family's 1533-position model. The record is from RNAcentral.